RNAcentral lists this ribosomal RNA (773 nucleotides) under uncultured Neocallimastigales. Its description in RNAcentral is "partial large subunit ribosomal RNA". It matches the Rfam family "Eukaryotic large subunit ribosomal RNA", at positions 22 to 629 of the family's 3401-position model. The record is from RNAcentral. Lineage: Eukaryota; Fungi; Neocallimastigomycota; Neocallimastigomycetes; Neocallimastigales.
UAUACAUGACUCUGCGCAUAUCAAUAAGCGGAGGAAAAGAAACUAACAAGGAUUCCCUUAGUAACGGCGAGUGAAGCGGGAAGAGCUCAAAUUUGAAAUCUUAAAGGGUUUCCCUUUACGAAUUGUAGUUUAAAGAAGUGUUUUCUGUUGAGGUUUUGGUAAAAGUUCUUUGGAAUAGGACAUCAUAGAGGGUGAGAAUCCCGUAUUUGACCAUUAUUUUCAGCUUUGUGAUACGCUUUCAAAGAGUCGGAUUGUUUGGGAAUGCAGUCCAAAAUGGGUGGUAAAUUUCAUCUAAAGCUAAAUAUUGGCGAGAGACCGAUAGCGAACAAGUACCGUGAGGGAAAGAUGAAAAGAACUAUGAAAAGAGAGUUAAACAGUACGUGAAAUUGUCAAAAGGGAAGCGUUUGACACCAGUGUUGUUUUCCUGAAAAUCAAUUAAAGAACUGUUUAUGCUAAGUUGUUUAGACUUUAUCAGCUAACUGUUUAGUUUUGAGCUUUUCUUUAAUGCACUUUUCAGUUAACAAGUCAACAUCAAUUUCUUUUGCUGUAAAAAAGCUUGAGGAAGGUGGCUUGAGAUUCGUCUUAAGUGUUUAUAGCCUCUUGCCUAUGCAGUCGGAGAGAUUGAGGUCUGCAGCGUAGAUCCUUCGGGGCUAAAUGCAUUUGUGCUAAGUUAUAGCAUUUUAUAGACAACUUGUUGACUAUGAUUUGUCUUGUAGCUUACUCGCUUAUGCUAUUUUACCUACGCUUAGGAUGUUGACAGCAGUAUAGACUGU